RNAcentral lists this ribosomal RNA (235 nucleotides) under uncultured Candidatus Saccharibacteria bacterium. RNAcentral's name for it is "partial 16S ribosomal RNA". It matches the Rfam family "Bacterial small subunit ribosomal RNA", at positions 584 to 818 of the family's 1533-position model. Lineage: Bacteria; Candidatus Saccharimonadota. The record is from RNAcentral.
UAAGUAGAUAGUAAAAUCCUAGGGGCUCAACCCUUUAAAUAUUAUCUAAACUGCUAAGCUAGAAUAUGAGAGAGGUCGCUAGAAUUCCUUGUGUAGGAGUGAAAUCCGUAGAUAUAAGGAGGAAUACCGAUGGCGUAGGCAGGCGACUGGCUCAUUAUUGACACUAAGGCACGAGAGCGUGGUGGCAAACGGGAUUAGAUACCCCGGUAGUCCACGCCGUAAACUAUGGAUGCUA